Molecule: ribosomal RNA, 253 nt
Filed under: uncultured bacterium
Lineage: Bacteria
Description: partial 16S ribosomal RNA
Rfam family: Bacterial small subunit ribosomal RNA
Source: RNAcentral
UACGUAGGGUGCGAGCGUUAAUCGGAAUUACUGGGCGUAAAGCGUGCGCAGGCGGCUCGUUAAGUUCGUUGUGAAAGCCCCGGGCUCAACCUGGGAACUGCAAUGGAAACUGGCGGGCUUGAGUGUGGCAGAGGGGGGUGGAAUUCCGCGUGUAGCAGUGAAAUGCGCAGAUAUCAGGAAGAACACCCGUGGCUAAGGCGGCUCUCUAGUACGGUACUGACGCUGAGACGCGAAAGCGUGGGGAGCGAACAGG